GUUACGAGCGCACCCCUAUCCUUAUUUGCCAGCGCAUAAUGGCGGGAACUAUAAGGAGACUGCCGGUCAUAAACCGGAGGAAGGUGGGGAUGACGUCAAGUCAUCAUGGCCCUUAUGGGGAGGGCUACACACGUGCUACAAUGGCCGGUACAGAGGGCGGCGAAGCCGCGAGGUGGAGCGAAUCUCAGAAAACCGGUCGUAGUCCGGAUUGCAGUCUGCAACUCGACUGCAUGAAGCCGGAAUCGCUAGUAAUCGCGGAUCAGAACGCCGCGGUGAAUACGUUCCCGGGCCUUGUACGCACCGCCCGUCACACCAUGGGAGUGGGCUGUACCAGAAGUAGGUAGUCUAACCUUCGGGAGGACGCUUACCACGGUGUGGUUCAUGACUGGGGUGAAGUCGUAACAAGGUAGCCCUAGGGGAACCUGGGGCUGGAUCA
RNAcentral lists this ribosomal RNA (436 nucleotides) under uncultured Chromatiales bacterium. Its description in RNAcentral is "bacterial SSU rRNA". It matches the Rfam family "Bacterial small subunit ribosomal RNA", at positions 1089 to 1525 of the family's 1533-position model. Lineage: Bacteria; Pseudomonadati; Pseudomonadota; Gammaproteobacteria; Chromatiales. The record is from RNAcentral.